UGCCAGCAGCCGCGGUAAUACAGAGAGUGCAAGCGUUAAUCGGAAUUACUGGGCGUAAAGCGCGCGUAGGUGGAUAAUUAAGUCGGAUGUGAAAGCCCUGGGCUCAACCUAGGAAUUGCACCCGAAACUGGUUAUCUAGAGUAUGGUAGAGGGAAGUGGAAUUUCCGGUGUAGCGGUGAAAUGCGUAGAUAUCGGAAGGAACAUCAGUGGCGAAGGCGACUUCCUGGACUAAUACUGACACUGAGGUGCGAAAGCGUGGGGAGCAAACAGGAUUAGAUA
This 279-nucleotide ribosomal RNA is filed under the name uncultured bacterium. RNAcentral describes it as "partial 16S ribosomal RNA". It matches the Rfam family "Bacterial small subunit ribosomal RNA", at positions 506 to 784 of the family's 1533-position model. The record is from RNAcentral.